Molecule: ribosomal RNA, 328 nt
Filed under: uncultured eukaryote
Lineage: Eukaryota
Description: partial 18S ribosomal RNA
Rfam family: Eukaryotic small subunit ribosomal RNA
Source: RNAcentral
CCCUUAGAUGUCCGGGGCUGCACGCGCGCUACACUGAAGGAAUCAGCGUGCUAAAACCAUUGUCGAAAGGCAUUGGUAAACCCAUUAAAAUCCUACGUGAUUGGGAUCGGGAAUUGCAAUUAUUUCCCUUGAACGAGGAAUUCCCAGUAAGUGUGGGUCAUAAGCUCGCGUUGAUUACGUCCCUGCCCUUUGUACACACCGCCCGUCGCUGCCCGGGGCUGAGCCGUUUCGAGAAAAGCGGGGACUGCUGCUGUCGGGGCUUUCGGGCCUUGGCUUCGGUGGAAACCGCUUUAAUCGCAGUGGCUUGAACCGGGCAAAAGUCGUAACA